Long non-coding RNA from Passer domesticus (house sparrow), 949 nucleotides. RefSeq lists it as uncharacterized. Lineage: Eukaryota; Metazoa; Chordata; Aves; Passeriformes; Passeridae. The transcript has 3 exons. The record is from RefSeq and is a predicted model, not a curated record.
AACCUCAUCUGGGCACAGGCCCAUCUAUCUACUCCUGUGGCAUUUGUAUCUCCAAACAAAGCAACCCUCCCCCUUCACCACAGCCUUCAACACUGCCCCUCAAGUUUUUGUUACAAGCAGCAUAACAGCACAUCAAAAACAUCUGUGCUUUUAUGUGGCUUGUGCAGGUUGUUUUCCCUUAUUGCUUGCAUCAUUGUGCAAAUAUCAAAGAGAAAGUGAAGCUGGCAAGAACACAGAGGUCUUGGAAAGGCAGCCUUUCCCAGGCAGCUUCUACAGGUGAGCAAAAGAGUUAGAGUGGGGAACAAGGAAAGGACUCAAAGGAAUAAUGACAAUUGUGAAACAAUUUGCUCCCAGUCAGCUGAAGCAAGGAAGUUCUCUUGCUCACUUUCUGUGACCCAGGAACAGAGGGGAGGGAGAUGGGAAAUUCACCUGGGAGUCAUCCAAAUGCAUUCAUCCAUUGCAUCAAAUUCCAAAUGCAAUGCAUGAACAUAAAAGUCUAGAAAUUAACUGAGAGGAUUUCAGUUUGCACAGCAUCUACUGACUAAUACCUAAGCAUGUUCCAGCACAAUGGCCAUUCCUGAGUGUUUUGCCUUUGUAGUUGAGUGCACUGCAGGAUGUUAAAUAAUUAAGAUAAUAUUCUUGUAUCCCAGAUGCCAACAAAUGACAGCAUGAGAUUCACUGUUCAGCUUUCUGGAUGCUGUUCAUGCAUUAUACAACACAUAAUUUUCAAACUGGUUAAACAAACCACAAAUGUGAUCGUGUCACCAAGUAAACCGAGCUGAAGGACAACCAGUGUGUCCAGAGCAGCAACUACUUACCCAACCUGGGCAUAACUGCCCCCAGGAACUGUUCAUCUUCCUGAAAAUGGUUUUCUUGCAGAGAUUCAAGCAGUUUCUGUAAGACAUCCUGCGGCACUUUGCAGCCUGUGCCCUUCAGUUCAGUGAAUCGG